UAAGGUCACGGCGAGACGAGCCGUUUAUCAUAACGAUAGGUGUCAAGUGGAAGUGCAGUGAUGUAUGCAGCUGAGGCAUCCUAACAGACCGAGAGAUUUGAAC
Molecule: ribosomal RNA, 103 nt
Filed under: Metanarthecium luteoviride
Lineage: Eukaryota; Viridiplantae; Streptophyta; Magnoliopsida; Dioscoreales; Nartheciaceae
Description: 4.5S ribosomal RNA
Source: RNAcentral